Molecule: long non-coding RNA, 2759 nt
Filed under: Xyrichtys novacula (pearly razorfish)
Lineage: Eukaryota; Metazoa; Chordata; Actinopteri; Labriformes; Labridae
Source: RNAcentral
GUCGUGUUUUGACGUGAUGGAGUGUCUGAAGCUGGGCCUGACUCAGGGUCUGAAGGUCAGCUGCUGCAACUGGAACGGCUGGAACAAACAAACAUUGUGGAAACAUGAUGAUUGUGUGUGACCUGCUUUCAAGUUAAAUAAACAUUUGAAGUUCCAAACUUUGCUAAAAAAUUAAAUUUGGACUACCCUCACACUGCCACAGAUUUUAUUUUUAAAUCUAAAUAAGUAGAUCUCAUGAUUUUAACAGUUUCCAUCAGGGCUGAGAGUCAAAAGUGGUCUAAAAGGGCAUCUUUAACACAAAAUACACAACAAAUCUAACUAGUGUGGUUUUUAUUUAAAAGGAAAGUUGAAAUUUUGAUUUUGAUGAAGGUUUUUGAGGACAGUAAGCUAAAUCUAUACUUUAAAUAAAAGCAUUUAAAAUAAUUUAAAUACAGAUCUGACACACACAGAGCUUCAAAGUUGAGACGAAGGUUACUUUUCCACCCACAUGGAAGAAAAACACGAAUAUAUUUCCCCUUUAUGCAUUAAAAGUUGUUUUUUCUUUCUAAUUGACAGUAAUUGAAAGACUUUUAACUUUGACUUUAAUAGUGCUUUUUUGCUCUCCCUCUAACACACAACACAAAAUAAGGGUGUCUUGAUACAACUUUUUGAUACCGUUACGAUAUGAAACAGAUACGAUGCCGAUAUUGCAGCCUUCAAUAUUAACCGAUAAUGACUGAUAUUUAUGCCUGACAAAAUUUUCACUCAGCUGCAAUGUCUUUUUCAGAUAUAUAGAGGAGCGGAGUCUGAAAUGGAUUGCUUGUAUCAGAGUGCUGAUAUCAGGGAUUUUAGAUGCAGGCUGAUAUAAUCCGAUAAUUGUUCUUUUGCUGAUACUGGACCAAUACCUGAUAUUGAUAUUGUAUUAGGACACCUGUAGUUCAAACUGCCUCCCUAUUACAGAAGAGAGUGACAGAAGUGCUGCUGAUCCUUCACAUUCUGGAUUUUGUGAAAACUCUUCCUCAUGAUGAUAAAAAUGACUAUUCACUCCAUCUGGGAAAAUGUGCUGGAGUAAAACUUCAUGUUCUGUUUGCAGCCUCUUGUGUAAUCAUCAGAAGUACAGAGUUUUGCAACAAGUCAAAACUGACUGAGCUCCAAAUCAGAGUAAACUCUGAUGUUUGAUCACAGACGGGCUAUAAAAGGAGUAUGUGAAUGCUCUGUGGAUUCAGAGAGACUUCUGAUCCUGGAGAAGAAACACCAGCAGGUAAUUAUUCAGAGCUGGAGUCUGAAUGUAGGUUUUUCUAAAUGCUUUUAUUCUGUUUGAGAUUAAAUUAGAUUCAACUUUUUCAUCAGUUUAGCACCUGACCAGAGGUGCUUCAUCAAGUGCAGACAACUACAGAGUGAUUAACAGAGUAACACUCUUUAAACCACUGCAGAGGUGUAGGAAGUUUGUCGGUUUAAAUAUAUGGAUUAAAGAAGGAUUAAAACUGUCAGUUCUAACACACUGAGACAGAUUCAGGCUCCUCUGAGGAACUUUUGGUUUGUGUGAGUUUUGCUGAUGGGGUUCUAGUGAAAAGCUGAAAAUGGUUGAAGAUUUAGGGAUUCACAUGAACUCGUACAUUUCUGUCUUUGCAGCUGAUCUACUUGGUCAUAAUCAUCCAUAAUGAAGACUGUCCAGCUCGUUGUCGUCCUCCUCAUCGUCUGCAUCAGCUGUGGUGAGUACUCGUUCAUGUUUUCAGCCUUUCUUUGAACCUCUAACAUAAAACAGACCACUGCAUGCAAAUAAUGGUAAAUCCUUGACUGGUAUAAGGGGUGAACACUCUGUUUUAUUUUGCAGCAGAGGCUCUGAGGUGUAACCGUUGUGUCCCUGCGAGAAUGGGUGGAUCAUGCCAUAAAACAGAGGAGGAGUGUGAAGAACGUCACGAUGUUUGUAUCUACGUAACCAUCAGUUACCCAAGUAAGUGAUCUUAAACUGCAGUAAUUAUACAUUAUUUUGCACAAUUUUGAGUUUGCAUGACUCAAACAUUUUUAAAAGAGCUUUUUUAGAUCACUCCAUCCUGCAGCAGUCCUCAGUCGAUUUCAGUGCACCCUUUAAAAGUUUUUCAAAGGCUUUAAAAGUUUUUUUUUUUUUUAAGUAAAAAGUAUUUCAAGCGCUUUCUGCAGAUAUUCCAUCACUGUAAUGAUGUCAGACAAUUAGAAUAUCAAUCUGAGCCUGUCAGGGAUAACAUAUGGACUUUUAGUGGACACACAUUUUCAUUUAGAUUCCACUCAAACUGCAGCAGUAAAGAUUCUGUGGAUUCUGUGGAUCAUUUGUGGAUAUUUUGCCAGAAUUAACAUGUUGCUCUUGUAUUUCCUGCAGCGUACUCGUACUUUAAGAGAUGCUCGAGGAGAGUUGAUGCCGAGAUCAUGAAGGCCAACCAAUACCUCACCGUCAGAAUCUGUGAUACUGACCUCUGCAACUGAGAUUAUUUUAUAAUGUCUGCAAAAAAGCAUUAAAGUUGUAUCUUUUAUUUAAAAAUGUGACUUACUGAGAGGACUGAAGAAAUGUGAUUCAGCUCCAUAUAAUCUGCAUACCAAAUAAAAAAAUAAAUAGAAAGUUGGUGUCCUGCAGUUUUUUUUUUUUUUUUUACUAAUUCAGAGUAAUAUAAUAGUUUUAUUGUGAUGUAUCCUGUUGUUUAAGUUACUUUGUUUGUCUCACCCCUCAGGGUACAGAAUCACUGGGAGGAAAGUAAGAACAAAUAUGUUGACUCUCUACCAAAUAAAAAUUCAAUGAAAAUAGUGAA